UACACUUGCAAAUUUAUUUACAUGACCAGUCCUCUGGUAUUAAUCCCACUGAUAAAAGUUUGGACACCUUUGGCCUACAUCAGUGCAUCCUAGAUAGAACAAGGCUAAAAUUUCCCAAGAAAUAGACUGCAAACGUUUGCACCCCCUUAAAAAAAGCUGUCUUUUUCCACAGAUGCUGCUUUUUGGAUCAUUUAAUUAUGGUACAACUUAUAUUAACAGUGAGCAUCUUUGUAAAUAAAUAAAUUACAUUAAAAAUAAAUUCAAUCAGUUCAAAAGCGCGUAUCUCUUCUUGUGAGUGUGAUAUUCUAACAACCUCCAACAGUCAUUCUAUCAUCUGAGCUGAGUAGCUUCUGACGUUCUUGUCAAAUUUUAGCACAGGAUGCACUCACAUUUCUUUCUCUUUUUUUUCUUUUAACAACAUGGAAUUGGUAAUGAUAAUGUUCAUCCAGAAACCAUCAGGGAUGCAAAUUUUGCACUCCGGGCUGUCCGGUGCACUUUCAUUCAUUCACUUUAUCCUGGUCACAAAUGAGGUGGAUCCAGAACCCAGGAACACUGGACACCGGAAUAUACACAAGGUUGGAAUUAUGUGCAGUUUUUAGGGGUCCAAGCACCAAGUACUUUGAAUUGUAUUAUUAUUAUUAUUAUUAGGUUACUGUUUUGGAAAGCAUUAAAAUGUUUAUAUAUGUAUCUGCGUAGCUGGAGUAAGAUGUUAGAUUAAUAUGUCAAUCUACCCUGCAGGAGAACCCAAGCACUAUGCAGGAUGUUUAUAAUGAUUAUGUCAUUCUACCCUGAAGAGACAGACAGAGACAGAGACAGAGAGAGAGAGAGAGAGAGAGAGAAAGAGAGAGACCCAAGAUGAGCCUACGUCACGCAUGAAAACAACUAAUGCAGGAGAAUGCGUGGAAGAUCCACAAAUAUUGAGAGAAGCUCUGCAGAAUCAUCUCGUUUUCUCUAUGCAUGUUUAUAUUUUCUCUAUGCAUGUUUAUGUUUUCUCUAUGCAUGUUUAUGUUUUCUCUAUGCAUGUUAUAUUUUCUCUAUGCAUGUUUAUGUUUUCUCUAUGCAUGUUUAUAUUUUCUCUAAUGCAUGUUUGUUUUCUCUAUGCAUGUUUAUAUUUUCUCUAUGCAUGUUUAUAUUUCUCUAUGCAUGUUUAUGUUUUCUCUAUGCAUGUUUGUUUUCUCUAUGCAUGUUUAUGUUUUCUCUAUGCAUGUUUAUGUUUUCUCUAUGCAUGUUUAUAUUUUCUCUAUGUAUGUUAUGUUUUCUCUAUGCAUGUUUAUGUUUUCUCUAUGCAUGUUUAUAUUUUCUCUAUGCAU
This is a long non-coding RNA of Ictalurus punctatus (channel catfish), 1310 nucleotides long. Lineage: Eukaryota; Metazoa; Chordata; Actinopteri; Siluriformes; Ictaluridae. The record is from Ensembl.